RNAcentral lists this ribosomal RNA (363 nucleotides) under Acrapex unicolora. RNAcentral's name for it is "partial 16S ribosomal RNA". The stretch from base 230 to 363 matches the Rfam family "Bacterial large subunit ribosomal RNA", at positions 2473 to 2606 of the family's 2925-position model. The record is from RNAcentral. Lineage: Eukaryota; Metazoa; Arthropoda; Insecta; Lepidoptera; Noctuidae.
AUAAAAUUUAAUUUUUUUAUUAAAAAGUUAAAAUGAUUUAAAAAGACGAGAAGACCCUAUAGAGUUUAAUAAAUGAAUAAUUUAAUUUUAUUUUGNAAAAUAAUAUUAAAAAUUAUUUAUUUAUUUUAUUGGGGUGAUAGAAAAAUAAAUAAAACUUUUUUUAAAGAAAAACAUUUAUAAGUGAUUAAAUGAUCCAAUAAUAUUGAUUAUAAGAAAAAAUUACCUUAGGGAUAACAGCGUAAUUUUUUUUUUUAGUUCAAAUAAGAAAAAUGAGUUUGCGACCUCGAUGUUGGAUUAAGAUAAAAUUUGAAUGUAGAAGUUUAAAAUUUUGAUCUGUUCGAUCAUUAAAAUCUUACAUGAUCU